Molecule: long non-coding RNA, 8136 nt
Filed under: Homo sapiens (human)
Lineage: Eukaryota; Metazoa; Chordata; Mammalia; Primates; Hominidae
Description: HSALNT0069884
Source: RNAcentral
CAAUGAAGUGUCAGAGAAACACAGUGGGAUGACAUUGUUCACAGGCAGAUGGAUCCCUGUUUUAGAUAGCAGCCUCAGUCCUCAGGCCCAGUCCCGAUGGGUAACUCACCCCUAUCUUGGAUAAGAGCUUUGGGAGCCUGUGAGUUACAUGAAGGAAGAGACUCAAAGUCAAUGGUGGAUUAUCAGCUCCUGGAAGUGAAAGAAUUUCACCUUACACUCUUCAUUAUGGUUUCACCUGUUAUAUGGGCUCAACUUUAGAAGGAUCUCAACAUGCACUGCCUGGCUUCUCCUACUUGGAAUUACCAACACUGUUUUUUUCCUUUUCAAUACCUAUUAAUGCACAAAAAACUGAGACAACAUACAUUAAAAAUAAAAUACAUAUCUACAAUAUUUACAUAUAUGGAUUUGCUGGGAAAAAUAUUUUUAUAAUCACAAAUUAGUGUCUGAUCAUAUGAUUAACAUCACUAAAACUAGAUUUGGUGCUUAUUGACUAUUCUUUGGCGAUUUCCUCAAAAUAUCACCUCUAAUCUGAUGAUUGACACAUAUUUAUUUUUAGAUGACAAUUCUAACCUUCAGUUUCCAACUGUGUACUGGAUAUAUUGGUGCUGCCAUCUUGUCUUCUAGUUAUCUCUAUUUUAGCACUAUCCAAAGCAUAUUUUCCUCUACUAUUCCUAUACACAUUCCUACACAUAUUUUCCUCUACUAUUCCUAUACAUAUUUCCCUCUACUAUUUUCUACAAACUACUGAAUGGCUUAUUUAUCUCUAUCUUCAUGGUACUUGAGUUCUUGAGGCAUAUAUUUGAUGCUGUAUUAAUUAAAUCUAAUAAAUUACCAUGUUAAGAAAAAACAAACUUCAGGGAAAGAUACUAGAACAUGUUUUCUUUGUGCUUUGAUUAUAAUAUUUGCUUUAUGUACAUAUCUGUAAACUCACAUCUUAAUGCCUUAUACUUCUACAUUAGCAUGGCUCAUUUUCCCUUGGUCUAAAUGAGAAGGAAGGAAACAAAUUCAUUGCCUCCAUCUGUAAAACAUCCCUCCAGAACAUCAAGAUAUGUUAAGCACCCUUUCCUCUUCAUUUCUCCUUGGCUUCUCUAGUUUUCCUUUAUGAUCUACUUCCCAACUCUUAAAUCAAUUCCAUUGCCUUCUCUUGGGCAUUUUCCAGGUUAUUCAGAUGUCUAUAUCUACAAUAAGCUACAGGGUCCACCAAGUGUAACAAAUCCCCCAAGUGCUUUUGAAAUAAUCCAGUAGGUUAAAACAGACGAAGAGUAAGAAGACUUAAAGUUGAGGUUAAGUUUAAGAAGAUUUACAAAGCUUUACCCACAUAUCCUGGUCUCUGAUAAAUACAUGAUUAGCUAAAGAUUCCAAGAAACUCACCCAGAGCUCAUUUCCUGCCUGCCUACCAUGGAAGCCAUGUCACUGAGUGCUAAUGAAUUUCCCAGUGGCUCCUGUAACUAGUCAAGGUCCUCAAGUAAAAAUAGGCUUGGCCCUGAAAUUACGGCAUUCAAACCCUGCUCAACAUCAUUUAAAUAUUCCGUGAUAUCCGUAGAUGAAGCCACUGAACAGUAGUGUUAGUAUAAAUAAAUUAAUAUCACAGGAAAAAUGAGGGUAUCUGUUUGAUGAUCCAGUGAAAAAAUGAUGAGAGAAGUUGAUAAGAAAAGCACUUUUCUUGGCCUGUGGUCAAAAACUAAAGCUUUAAACAAUUGUAGGAAACUUUCUUCAGUCGUGUUCUGGGAAGUAAAUUCAGCUAAAUAUAAAUCAAAAGAGUUAUCUUUAUUGUAAUUCAAAGAUGCUACAGUAUUGGAGGCAUGGGAGAUUGCCAGAUGAAGAAACAAGCAUUUUCCUCCUAAUAAAGAAAUCUCUGUAAAUCAUGGGUUUGCACUUCUACUUUUAUACUUCUUUGAUACUGUGCUGUGACCUAUGGAGAGGCGUCAAGGAGCUGUAGCUAAGUGGAUUGCUAAGAACGCCGCGAUGGUGUCAGGUGGAACUGAGGUUAAGCUCCAGCAUCACUGUUACCUGUGUACUGCUGAGUUAAUCAUUCUCUCUAUGACUCCGUUUCUUCAUGUUUAAGAGGAGUAUAGUAAUAGUGGUGAUCUCAGAAGAUUAAGUGGUAAGCACAGUAUUUGGCCCAAAGGAAACAUGCUGUAAAUGUUAUCUUAGUCAUUAACUUUAUGAUUAGAUUUUUUUUCAAAAUCAUUCCCAUGAUACCUGUGGCCUCUGGUUGGUUCUAGUUUAUUUUAUUAGCUCAUUGCUAGUUAUCUCCUCCUAAGCCUUUGGUUGAGCUGGUCUGGGUAUUUCUAGACAUUUCCCUGGUCAUAAUGGGCUUUCCCUUAUGUAUUUGCAUAUAUGCGUUUUCCACAAAUUUGGUCUGAUCAACUCCCACUUUUUAUUUCAGAUGGAGUUCUAACUUUCUUUUCUUGCUUCCUCAAACAUUACUGGAUAGAUAUAAGUUCUCUCUAUUUUCUGUUCUCCUAGGCCUCUAUUUUUAUUAUUUUUACAAUUAUAUCUGUUAUAUUCUUUGCAUGUUUUUCCUCUAGCUAAGGUGUAAAUUCUUCAAACACAGCUACUAUAUACUCAUCAUUGGGCAUCCCAGAACCUAACACUAUCAGGAACACUGAAAGCUAGAAAGUGCCUAGUAAAUGUCUGAUGCAGAAAUAAAUUGCGUAUAAUAUAAUAUGGCAAUGCUAAAAUAGAAUAUAAUGAAAAGGAAUUUAGAAAUAAUAAGGUGAUAAUUUAGAAUCAUAGAAAACAAAUUAGGAAAAAACAAUGAUGUAAGGGUAAGUUUCUUUAAUGCUGACAAAGAUAUUUAAAAAUAUAUUUAAAAGAGCAUUCAUGUGCCAAAAAUAUUUAAAAUAUUUUAGCUGAAUUUGAUACUAAACAUUUAUAUUGUAAUCCAAAGUAUAUGCAAAUAUAAAAAUACGGAACAGAAGUGUACCAAUAUAAUACAGAUUGUCACAGAUCAUAGAAUUAGAAGUGAGUUAUACUUGUGGUUUUUGUAGUUUCAAAAAUCUGUAAAAAAAUAAUUUAUUAUUUUUGUGAGUAGAGAACACUUAUAAACUUUUUUAUACUUAGACAAUGCUAUACAAUUUGAAAUGCAUUGGUAUCAUUGCGUGAUUUAAAUCUUUUCAGGAAAUUUUUUCAAACCUAAAACAAUAUACAUCCAUCCCCUUCAUAUUGUCUAUACACUCUCCUGAGUAUGAUAUCUUUUCUUACGUAAUCAUGCACGAGGCAAAUGCCAGAUGCUCAAGCUAUAAACCCACACAUCUGAUGGGCAAGAGGUCUGAGAAAACAGGCAGCACAAAGUAAUCUUGCCAGUAUACAAACAAUGUAAUGCAGAAAGCCUUAUCCUUUUUCUGGUCAUUAAAUGGAAUUUUAAUCUGCAAGGGAAAUUGCAAGUCAUAGUCCUUCAUGUGUAUAGAGAAAAUGACUUGAGAUCAGAAAGGGAGGAGUUAGGGAAUAAAGUCACACAAUUAGUUGGUGGCACAAUUAGGGCCAGCUUGACAAUCUGUGGCUCUUCCUACUUCUGAAACAUCAUGGAAUUACAGAAAGGGAUUUUAGAAAGACUUUCCUAUUACUGCUUCAUUAUACAGAAGGAUAACUGAGGACUUACAGCUAUCCAAUAUUUUCACCUAGAUCACAUUGCUUGCUGGAAUUUGUCUCAAAUUGGCAUUCAGGACUGCUAUAUCCCAGUCAGUGUGUUUUUCUUUUUUCCUGCAAAAGCAAGACAUUGGUCUUACUCUCACCUACACCACACUUAUCACAAAUAGCAUUGAAGAAAAUCUUGCCCCAAUACUUACAUAUUAUUCAAAUAUCGAAUUGAAGUCUACUUUUGUUCUAACCAUGGCAAAAGAAUAGCCAUAUAUCAAAUAUAACAGCAUAUCAUUUAUUAAUUGGGGUCAACAAUUUUUCCAGAAUUUAUCUAAGAUUCUUAUCCUUUUUAUUUAUUUUUCUAUGAAACAAUGAUCUAUGACAAAUUCAUUGAAAUAUUUCAAAACUCUAAUUCAUAUAUAGCAUUGAAUAUAUGUAUGUGUGUGUGUCUGUGUGUAUACUACACAAAAUGUUUUCCUAAGCUCUUUAGAGCUACAAAAGUUAUAGUAUUUUAUGCCUGUUUUAGAUCUGGAUAGAUAGGCUAUACAUAGCUAAGGAUACAUAGGCUAAGGAAGCCAUUUGGCUCAUUCUUCACAUUAAUAAGAAAAGGCAAUGUGCCACUUGUCUGUGCCAAGCUCUGACAAGUGGAUGUGCCUGGGUUUCCAUAAAUACAAAGCAAGAUAGACCUCUUGGUGUAAUGGAAAGUACGUGCUAUAAGAAAUAGAGAACUUGGGUUCUAGUUAUGUUCCUGUUUCAUGUGUUCAAUAAAGGAUUUCAUGGGAAGUUAUUUUUUAACUCCUAAUAAUAUACCCAAAACUCCCACGGGGCUUUUUCAUUCUUUCUUCUUCUUUUUUUUUUUUUUUUUUUUCGAGACGAAGUCUGGCUCUGUCGCCCAGGCUGGAGUGCAGUGGUGCGAUCUUGGCUCACUGCAAGCUCCGCCUCCCGGGUUCACGCCGUUCUCCUGUCUCAGCCUCCCGAGUAGCUGGGACUACAGGUGCCCGCCACCAUGCCCGGCUAAUUUUUUUUGGAUUUUUAGUAGAGACGGGGUUUCACCGUGUUAGCCAGGAUGGUCUUGAUCUCCUGACCUCGUGAUCCACCCGCCUAGGCCUCCCAAAGUGCUGGGAUUACAGGCGUGAGCCACCACGCCUGGCCGGGGCUCUUUCUAAUAGCUGGAUGCUUAUCAAAAGCCUUCGAAUGUUAAAAAAGUGAUGCAAAGACAGCAAGUAAGGUUGGAGGCCAAACUCAUCAAGGACACAGUAUAAAUAGAAAAUAAAUCUAUAGUGAGACUUUAGGCACAGUUUUUGCCUAAUAUCUGAAAACCCCUGAUCUUUGCCAUAUUCUAACACCCCAUUUGUAUUGACAGCCUUGAAGAUCCAUACUGGGAAACUUCCCUUUUUUAUCAGAGACAGACUGGUUAGGAUAGAUGAUUAAUACAGUAUAUGACUGAGUGUCUGUAAUUGAAGAGACAUUUUUGAAUAAUCAAUGAGCUUCACAAAAAAAGAGUAUUAGACAAAUUAUAUGCAUAUUAAUGCAAUAUCAAAAUCCUUUUUUGUUGGAUGUUAGAGGUGUUUUGUUGAAAAACAAAGAUGAGGAAAACAUUUGAUUUGCUUUCAAAACCUACUCCUGUGUAUAUUCCAUCAAUUAUUUCUGCCAUUAUCCAUUUGAAAAAUCUUUGCUCUUAGGAAUGUGUUAAUUUCAGAUGCCAUUGACCUGUUUAACAGGUCAAUCACUUUCCACUGCAAUCUCAACAAACCCUCUCUAUGGCCUAUGAGGCCCGUUGACAUCUGGUCUUUGAUCUACAGCUCCAAUUUUGUCAUUCUCCACUUUGUUGCUCACUAUAAGCGGAGCCCACAGGUCUCUUUUCGUCCCUCAAACAACUUAAAUGCCUUUCCACACUAGAGGCGGUGUGCUAGCACCCUCUGCCCAGAAUGUUGUUCUGCCAGGAUUUUGCCCGGCUGAUUCCUUCUAGUUAUUCAGGUUUCUGUACAAAUGUGACAUCCUCAGAGAAUCUUCCACUGUUUAUCCCAUCUAAAUUAUCAUUCCUUUCCCAUCCCCUCUUGAUUCUCUAUCACAUUGUCCUUUUUUCCCUUUGCAAUUCUUACCACCAAAUUAGCAUUACCUGAAUUAUGUGUGUAUUCACUUACUUUCAUGUCUGCUAUCCCCCACUCAGCACGCCAUAAGCUCCCUAAAGCCAAGGCUGUAUCUUUCUUGACAUUCUUGACAUCUCUGUAUUUGUAGCACUUACAACAGCACCUUUGUAGGAGUUCAAUAAUUAAUGUCAGAUAAACAAAGGAGUUAAUAAACACAUGAACGAGGCCAGGGGCAGUGGCUCACGCCUGUAAACCCAGCACUUUGGGAGGCCAAGGUGGGUGGAUUAUCUGAGGUCAGGAGUUCAAGACCAGCCUGACUAACAUGAGGAAACCCCAUCUCUACUAAAACUACAAAAAUUAGCUGGGGCGUGGUGGCGCACGCCUGUAAUCCCAGUUAGUUGGAAGGCUGAGACAGAAGAAUCACUUGAACCCAGGAGGUGGAGAUUGCAGUGAGCCGAGAUUGCCCCACUGCAUUCCAGCCUGGGCCACAGAAUGAGACACAGUCUAAAAUUUAAAAAAUACAUGAAUGAAUGAAUAAAUGGAUGAUUUAAUGCCAUUGAUAUAGAUCUGUUAACUAGAAAUGCAAAAUGGGAUAAAUUAAUUAUGUUACUUCAAUCUUUUUCAAAUGUAUGAAAAUAAUUAUAAUUAAAACCAGUAGUUUCAGCGAAAAGGAACUAAUGCAUGUGACAUUGUCCAUGAUAUCGGUGGUUUGCAUGUCAUUGGGCCCUUGAUACAUUUACAAAAAACAAAUAACUAGAAGUGGCAAAUGACAGAAGGUGUGGAAAGGCGAGGGAAGAAAGAGAAACACCAAGUUCUCCUACACCCUCUUCUAAGACUCUUCUAGUUUCUUUCCUCUUUCAAUGAACUUUCUCUCGAAUUUAUGCUCACAAUGUCAGAUUUUGUUUGUUUUAUGUUUCUCACUGAAGUCUAACAUCCCUUUUCUUUUCUGAAAUACGCCAAGCAACUAAUUUUGAAUUACUUUUUCCACUCUGUAGCUGGCUGUUAUGCAUCAUGUAAGGAAGCUUAAUUAAACAGUACAAUGUAAGAACUACUCACAGAUUUAGGAAAAAACCUACUUUCUUCGUUAAAAAAAUAAAUAAGGACAAUUUUGUUAUUCUUUGCAUUCACACACAUCUUAUAUACCCCAAUGCACAACAAAGCUGAAUUUUCAAGUUUGUGACACUUCAGGUCUCUGGAUUUUAUUAAUAAUAAUUGUCAGUCCAUUAAAAUGGAUUAUGAUGACUCCCAAGGAAUUGGUUGUUAACAUAAUUAACAGCUGGCUUUAGUUUCAAGGCAUUAAUCAAAAGAGCAAGUUUCUGGAAAUGACCAGGUUCUCAAAAACGUUGCUAAUUAGCAAAGGCAUUGAAGUUGUAUGACACUGAUUCCUGCCACUGUUAUCUGCAUGAUUGUAUCACAACUUUAAAUACCCACAAUGUGAUGUGUUUUCUCAAGUAUUAUUAAACCAAUAGGCAUUUCAAAUUUCAAUACAUUUACUUUAAAGGAAACAAAAUCUACAUUUUUACUCUUUACUUUUGGACAGAAUCGAGUGUAAAAUACUUGUGAAAUGACGGCAAUACAUAAUACAUAAUAUUUUCCUUUCACAAAUGGUGAAUAAAUGGAGCAUAUGCUAAUUUUUCUUUUAUUAAUCCAAUGUAGGCUAACUAGCUCUGCCAUAAAAAUAAUAUUACUCUGAGAAGCAGGAUAAACGCUACUAUUAUCUACUCAUAGGAUAUCUUAUUAUAUUUUUAGACAAUGAAUGCUAUACAUUAAAGAAAUUAAGGGAAAAAUACAAAAAAGGGAAUUAAUAUCCCAAUUACCUUGAUUUGAUCGUUACACAUGUAUGUUUUUAUCAGUAUUUUCCAUGUUCCCAUAAAUAUGUGCAAUUAUUAUGUAACAUUAAAAAAAGAAAUUUUAAAAUAAUCGCCCCAUUCCCAUCAAGAAAGACCAACCUCUCAACAUUUUGAAGUAUUUGCUUCUAUUAUAAUUAUUAUUUUUUAUUUUUUAUUUUUUCAGAGAUGGAGUUUCACUCUUGUUGCCCAGGCUAGAUUGCAAUGCACGAUCUCAGUUCACAGCAACCUCAACCUCCUGAGUUCAAGUGAUUCUCCUGCCUCAGCCUACUGAGUAGCUGGGAUUACAGGCAUGUGCCACCACGCCCGGCUAAUUUUGUAUUUUUAGUAGAGACAGGGUUUCUCCAUGUUGCUCAGGCUGCUCUUGAACUCCUAACCUUAGGUGAUCUGCCCAGCUCGGCCUCCAAAGUGCUGUGAUUACAGGCAUGAGCCACCACACCUCGCCGAUUUGCUUCUAUUAUCUUUAUGGGCCUAACCUCUUUUGUUUAUGUUGCUAUAAUUAUACUAUGCUGGGAGGGAUGGCUCAUGCCUGUAAUCCAAGCACUUUGGGAGGCUGAGGCGGGCAGAUCACAAGGUCAGGAGUUUGAGACCAGCCUGGCCAAUAUGGUGAAACCUCG